Molecule: transfer RNA, 70 nt
Filed under: Graptopsaltria nigrofuscata
Lineage: Eukaryota; Metazoa; Arthropoda; Insecta; Hemiptera; Cicadidae
Description: tRNA-Ser
Source: RNAcentral
AAGGAAACAUUUUGCAUUAAAAGGAGCUGCUAACUAUCUUUUAUAAUGGUUAAAUUCCAUUUUUUCCUUU